Gasterosteus aculeatus aculeatus (three-spined stickleback) is the source of this 929-nucleotide long non-coding RNA. The record is from Ensembl. NCBI's taxonomy places the organism in Eukaryota, Metazoa, Chordata, Actinopteri, Perciformes, Gasterosteidae.
GGGGGGUCCAUCAGUCCAUCAGGAGAGGCUUUCCACUAAGAAUCAAAGAGCACACGUGUUACUGUCUGCAGCCUCCUGCAAUACGUGACUCUUAACGUCUUCAUGUCCAUGUGGGGGGUGGGGGGGGGUCCACUACGUGCCAUUAAGACCAUGUGGCAGCAGUUAAGAUGGUUGACUGUAUCUGCACUGGUGUGUAGAGAUGGAUCUCCCCCCCGGCCCCCCAAACUCGCUCUCUCUGGACAAACGGUCAACCGCUUACAACAAUAGGCGCAGUGUUCUUAGUCUGUUCUCAGUCUGUUCUCAGUCUGUUCUGUUCUCAGUCUGUUCUCGGUCUGUUCUCGGUCUGUUCUCGGUCUGUUCUUAGUCUGUUCUGUUCUCAGUCUGUUCUCAGUCUGUUCUCAGUCUGUUCUGUUCUCAGUCUGUUCUUAGUCUGUUCUUAGUCUGUUCUGUUCUCAGUCUGUUCUCAGUCUGUUCUUAGUCUGUUCUUAGUCUGUUCUCAGUCUGUUCUCAGUCUGUUCUGUUCUCAGUCUGUUCUUUGUCUGUUCUCAGUCUGUUCUCAGUCUGUUCUGUUCUCAGUCUGUUCUCAGUCUGUUCUUAGUCUGUUCUUAGUCUGUUCUCAGUCUGUUCUGUUCUCAGUCUGUUCUCAGUCUGUUCUUAGUCUGUUCUUAGUCUGUUCUCAGUCUGUUCUCAGUCUGUUCUGUUCUCAGUCUGUUCUUAGUCUGUUCUCGGUCUGUUCUCAGUCUGUUCUCAGUCUGUUCUCAGUCUGUUCUCAGUCUGUUCUCAGGACCGUCUUUGAAAACCACCGACCUUGCGUGUCUCCUCAGAGGUCACACCUCCCGGCACGUGUCCGCUUUCGAAAACGAACAUCCAGACGUUCACUUCGACAAGGCCGCAGGCUUGUUUGGACGCGGUGCGCGGUCGUCAGCCCG